UUAUUUUCAAGAAGACCGUCAAGGAGAGAGGACGUACAAAGGAAUCCUGUCUUAGAAUCAACUACGACGUCAUUAUUUCUGAACAUCGUUACAAUCGUGCACGAAGCGAUAAAGAAAACGAGUGUCGUAUCAUUAAAAAAAUGCAAAAAUUGUGAAAUAAAGUCAGUGUUGUUCGUCGUAAAUAAAAAUUUCGGUCGCUAUAAGAAACUCAUCUAUAGUAUCUUAUUUUCAUUAGCUCGUUAUUAAAUUCAUACCAAUCCUAAGAUACAUCAUCAUAAUGACAUCGGGCUCUCGAUUUGAUUUGAAUAAAUCAUGUGACGACUGAUUUUCUUUCCUUUCAAAGAAGAAGAAGGAGAAGAAGAAAAAAAAAAGAAGAAGAAGAAGAAGAAGAAGAAGUAGAAAAAGUAGUGAGUUCUUCGAUGAAAGUUCUCAAAAAGAAAACGAAGAAACUUUCCGAUCUCAGCGACUACUAUGGUUGUUGCAAAGUUGGUGUGUUUUGGAGCCAUCGCAGAACUUCUAUAUCUAUAGUAGAGAAGAGAAGGAAAGUUGUAGUAAAAAAGGAAAUUAUUGCUACUUCGUAUACAAAAGAAAGCUUUCCGCCGCAAGGAAGUAAUUACAGAUAGAAGACGGAAGAACAACGAAGAAGGACUAAAAAUGAGAAAGGAAAUUCGAAGGAAGCAUAUGUAAGUAGUAGUAUUUUCUUAGAUAUUAAAAUGUUUUCUCGUCGCGUAAAUGUCGUUUGAAAAGAAAUUGUGUUGACGAAAUAAAUAACGAAAAGAAUGAAAAACAAAAACAAAAUGAAUAUAAGAAAAUAUACAAUACAUUUGUUUUAAUAUUACGAAUAAGAUUAUUAAAUUUGCACGUGAUAAAAUUGAGAUAGAAAAUAUAAAUUAAAAUUUAUUUAUUUCUUCUUUUUCUUUCACUUUUUUUCAGUUUGGAUAAUUAUGUCCUGUCAUUUCUGAUUUUCAAGCCUCUUGUUGAAGUUGUCCAAUUUUCAUGCCAACGAUUGGACGGUUUGUCCAAUGGCUUCGUAGCUUUUGGCUUUUGUGUUUUCGACCAUUUCGCUAGUUGUUUUGAGCCCAUGACUGUCGACUCGAUCUCUUUAGAAUUUAUUCCAAUGUCGUGAAUAGAAUAUUUUGCGCUUGAUUAUAAAAAAGAAAAAAAAAACAAAGUAUUCUUUUAACAAAAAAAGAUAAAAUAUUCUUCUAUCAGACGAUUCAUAUCUUUAAACGAUAAACGUAAACAUGCACGAGACACUAACCUUGAUCGCUCCAAUUAAAUGAAAUGAAAUGAAAUGAAAUGAAAUGAAAUUAUUAAUUAGAUGGGCGUGCAAAUUUUAUCACAUAUUAAUUGAAUUACCAGCUGUCUUGAGUCACCUUCAAUAUCACGUAGGUAUUGAAUCCCUCUUCCUUUCCUUCGACACUCUCUUGCAAUACUUCUCCUCCUACCCCUUAACACCCAUUUCGUGGAGUAACACGUUCAGGGAAUUAGCGUGAAAUUCGUUCGCGAAAUUGCAUCGCGGUUAUAAGUCGAAGAAUUAAAUCAAUUCCCCAUCGUAUUAAUUACGAUGGAAUUGGAAAGUUAAGUCUCUUUACUUUUAAUACGAUUAUUCAUCUAACUAUACAAAGUGUCUUCUAUUUUUCGUAAUUUCAAUUAAAAAAGAGAAAAGAAUGGGAAAGAAAAAGGAUAAGCGCAAAUAAAAAAACAAAAAAAAAGAAAAGAAAGAAAAACGAAUCAUAUUAUUUACGAGGAUCACAUGUGUUCAGGUAAUUACUCGUUCUCGCACACAUGUAUACGCCACAAUAGCUUAUCUCUUUUCAAAUACUAAAUUAAAGGAGAGUAAAGAAAGAAAUUAAAAAAAAAAAAAAAAAAGAAGAAAAUGAAAUGGAAAAUACAAACUAUUUACGAUGAUUACGUAUUUACACACGUCAUUAAUUUCAUACUCCGCAAGAGAAUUAUUUAGAUAGCAGUAUUUAUUAUCCUCUCAUAAUUUUCUUCUCUUAUUUUUAAUUUUCACUUCACUUUUAUUUUUAUUUAUUCAUUUUUUUUUUGUAAUAAUUAUUAUUGCGCAUUUACCAUGCCAAAAUUUACGAAGCGAUUCUGAAUAAUCGAAAAAUAGCCUCUUUCAAUAUACAUAGGUAUAUGUACAUGCUUUCCAUUAUGAUUUUUGUGGACCAACCUUCCAAUAGCACUCUGUUCUUCUUUCUUUCUUUCUCUCUCUCUCUCUCUCUCUCUCUCUCUCUCUCUCUUUCCCAAUUCAUAGUGCUAUUUUCUAUUAUAUCCGAAAUAAAAUUGAAUGGCACAAUGGUGUGUGUCCCAGUUUACAGAUCGUGAUUUCCUCAUGUUUCAGCACGUAUUUCUCCAUACGAAAAAUUUCAUCCUCACAUUUCUACGUGAAACUGAUGAUCAUUAUUGUAUCGUACAAUCUUUUCUUAGGUUACUAUCGUCAAGAGAUGUAUUCAUGAACAUGGACAAAUCAAAAGAAGAGACAGAGAGAGAAAGAUGGAUAGAUAGAUAAAUAGAUAGAGAGAGAGAGAGAGAGAGAGAGAAAGAGAGAGAAGGAUAUGGAGCAAAUAAAUAUUUUUUUCUUUUCUACAGUUCAACAAAUAGUACACAUUUCGUGGACGAUAAAUCACAAUUACUUUGUGAUUAAUCGAAGAAAAUGUUAAAAGAUAAUGCGAAAAAGGGAAAAAGAGAGAAAAAAAUGGAAAGAGAGAGACAAAGAGAGAGAGAGAGAGAGAGAGAAAGAGAGCAAAUUGUCGCCAUUUGCAUGCUUGCCAAGUUCUCGCGAAUUUUGCGGUUUCUACUCGUUCGCUAAUCGUUUCGUGGAAUUUUGUAAUUUUUUCCAUUUUUCGUUUUGUAGGAACACGUGCGUAGACGAUCGAUGGACAAAUUUUCGUCGGCCCUGCGUGCGCAAUAACCGAGUAUUCGCUCGAUACUCUUUUUUCUUGGAAAAAUUCGUUUUAUAACACUCCGGAAGGCUCGGUCUCUAUAGAAAAAUUCUCUUUGUAAAAGUAGAAAAUUUCUGACACAGCUUGGUUGGUGGCUACCGAACGUUCGUUUUAUAAUAGGAUUAAUGCAGAUCAUUUUCCACCGUUGUAUUAUUAUAACUUUCACAGUUAUGAUCGCUCGAUGAAAUCUCCUGUCCGUCUCAUUUUGUGAAAUCCAUGAAAAAGGAUAAAGUAGAGAACGAUUUUCGUAUAAGCUAAAUUUUUGAUUUAACGAACCAAUUCGCAGACACUCGAUUAUCGCACAUCUUCAAGCUUAUCUCUCUUUGAGAUUUCAUCUCUCGAAUAAAUAAACCGAUAAACGGAUGUGAGAUUAUUAAAGAACGAUUAAGAGUUUAUUUGUCAUUUAUGCAGAAUAAUAAUAAAAAAAAAAAAGAAGAAAAAAAAAGGAAAAGAAUAAUAAUUUUCAAAUCUUCCCGCUCUUCAUGAGAAUGAUAAUUUUCGUUUGUGCAUCGAACAUAAUAUUUCAUUUAUAUAUUCAACCGAAUUAAUGUGUUUUUUUUUUUCGAUGAUUCAAAAAAAUUAAUACGAAAUCGAAGAAUUUAUUAUAUAUUGAUGAUUUAAAUUAGCCUCUCAGUUACUGAAUUCUCGUAAAUUUUUAUAAAGAAUAGUAACGAGUUCGAAUUAUUAAGCGAUAAGUAGAGGAGAGAAUGAUAUAUAUAUAUAUAUAUAUGUUUACAAAGUCGUAAAAAUAUUUGUAGAACAUAUCUUUGCUCAACACCUAUUUCAAGAGAAAAGGAGAAGGAGAGAGAAAGAGAAAGGUAGAAAGCUAUGGUCAUUCGUCGACGAUAGAUUAAUAUCCCGUCGGUGCCAUUGGAUCUCCUUUCUACAGGAUCUGUUCCUGGUACUUUGCCAAAAGCGCAUAGUAUUGUGCGUUCCGGAAGCGGAAACACCUACCUAUCUAACCGACGGUACACGUUCAAAUUUUCCAAAAGCUUCCUGAAAAGGAGAACGAGCAGAGAAGGGUAGAAGAGAUUGAACAUAGUAGGAGGAACCACGGCUACGUUUUAAAGAUAAAGAUAGAGACGGAGAAAGAUAGAUAGAUGGAUAGAUAGAAAAGAGAUAAACUAGCUGGAAUCAAAACUUCCCUCGUAUAAAUUAAUUAGAUUUGUGGAAGGACAAAAUAAGUAGAAAUGAAACAAAAGACGAUUAAGUCUAAUAACGCAUCAUUUUCAUGGGACUUCAUAUCUAAGAUGUAAUUAUGGUAUUUGGUAUUUGGUAUUUUUGAACUUUUUUAGGGCAAUUAUUUCUAAUAUUUACUUUUAAAAGACGAGAUUAUUAAAAAGAUAUUUCACAGUUUUUCUUUUCUUUCAAAAUUCGACGAAACAAUUUACACGUAAAGAAAGAAUUAUUGUAGAGAAAUUUGAGAAUGUUGAUUCGAUCAUUUGUAGUAGUAAAUGGCGAUUAAUUCGAAUGGAAAAUUUAUAUAUUGAACUUUAUCUUUGGGUCUUAUUCAAUAAAGAGCCUGUUGAAAAUCGAGUUUGAAGAUCGAUAUCUAUAGGUCGACGGUACUUGUACUUACUUAAACUAUAAAGAGGAUCCUUUAGAGAAAUUUCGAUGAUGCUUUAUAAUUAACGCGUACGAUUACCUCGGAAGUUCGUAUAAUAGCUAGGUAGGUAGAUACCUAUAUCAAAGAUAAAACCGCUUACGAUAGUCAACUUUGCUGCUUUUCACGAACACAGAGCGAAAAGCCUAGGAAUUACGAGGUUUAGACUUACACACGUAAUUUUUCUUUUACGAUCGUGUCGUAGCGAAAUCGAGGAUUUAUUUUCGUUUUUUUCGUUUUUCUCCUUUUUUUCCUUUUUAUCUUUUUUCUUCCUUCUUUUUUUUUCAGUUAUUUUUCCCUGAAGCGGAUUAACUUUUCUUUCUAGAAAACGAGAAGA
This is a long non-coding RNA of Vespa velutina, 4891 nucleotides long. RefSeq lists it as uncharacterized. The record is from RefSeq and is a predicted model, not a curated record. Lineage: Eukaryota; Metazoa; Arthropoda; Insecta; Hymenoptera; Vespidae. The transcript is spliced from 4 exons.